This 164-nucleotide non-coding RNA is filed under the name uncultured Anaerosporomusa sp. RNAcentral describes it as "Lysine riboswitch". It matches the Rfam family "Lysine riboswitch aptamer". Rfam says of the family: Riboswitches are metabolite binding domains within certain messenger RNAs that serve as precision sensors for their corresponding targets. Allosteric rearrangement of mRNA structure is mediated by ligand binding, and this results in modulation of gene expression. The record is from RNAcentral. Lineage: Bacteria; Bacillati; Bacillota; Negativicutes; Acetonemataceae.
GUAGUAGAGGUGCGGGCAACAAAAGUACUUUCAGGGAGCGUGGUAGCGAUGAUCUGAAAGGAAAGGGUUGCCCGCCGAAGCGGAUUGUGUCGCCAUGGCAUUUCCGCUGGUCUUGCAUAGAAUAUAUGCAAGAUUGUCACCAUGGAAUUCAUGGUGGAGCGCUA